RNAcentral lists this long non-coding RNA (7345 nucleotides) under Heterocephalus glaber (naked mole-rat). RNAcentral describes it as "lncRNA (ENSHGLG00000040258.1)". The record is from RNAcentral. Lineage: Eukaryota; Metazoa; Chordata; Mammalia; Rodentia; Bathyergidae.
AUUCAAACAAGUCUAGGUACAGCUUGUGCCAGUAGAAAAUUUUCAGCAUCUAUGAAGUGCUCUUCAGGUGUGCAUAAUGCAAGAAUUAUAGGGUCAUGGCUGCCUCCACUGAGAUUUCAAAGUGAAGUCUAGAAGGCCAGGCAGAAGUUUGCUGCUAAUUUGGAACUUCCAGAGAGUACUCCAUGGGGCAAUGUCUAGCUGCUGGGGGAAGGGAGCUGAAGUGGGAACCCCCAAAAAGUGAAAUGACCAACAGUGUCCCAUGCCAGUUUUGGAAAGCUGCCUGCAUCAGUGUGUAGCCUGAGAGAGCAACCAUGUGGGUAGCAACCAGAAAAGCCAUACAAGCAGGACCACUCAAGGGUUUGGGGGCCUGCCCCUCAGUUGCAGGGUCCCCAGGACACUGGAUUUGGAGCUUUAGGAUUUAGUGUCUUCCCUGCUGGACACUGAUGUUGUUUUGGCUGAUUCCUUCUUUCUGUCUUCUUUUUUCUCAUUUUUAAAAUAGGAAUGUUUAUCCAAUUCCAAUCCUACUAUUGUACCUUGGACAGACCUAACUCUUGUUUUUUUACCAGAGCUCACAGCUGAGUUUGUUUUGAGUCUCAGAUAAGACUUGGAACUUGAACUUUUUUUUUUCCAGUACUGGGAUUGAACCUAUGGACUUUGCACUGAGCUACAUCCCCAGCCUUUUAAAAAAUUUUAUUUUGAGAUAGGGUCUUGCAAAGUUACUAGGUUGCCCCUAGGGUGACCAGGUGAACUUGCAAUCUUCCUGCUUCAGCCUCCCGGAGUGUUGGGAUUAUAAGCAUGAACCACCACACCAGGCUGAACUUGGACUUUUGGAUGAUGGUGGAACAGUUAAGACCCUGUGACUUUUCAGAAUAGAAUGUAUUUUGGAUUGUGAGAUAGGCGUGAACUUUGGAGCUAGAGACAGAAUGCUAUGGUUUGGAUUUGGUUUGUCCCCCAGAGGUUGAUGUGUGAGAGGCUUGUGGUAAUGUAAAAGGUUAUGGAACCUUUAAGAGGUCUACUUGAGGGUUCUUAAGACAAUAGAGAGACUGUAAACGUAGAGAAACAGACAUCUUACCCUUCACAGUUGUAUCCUCAACACCAGUAAUUCUCAAUAAAUGUUAAGCAUUCAGCUAGCAAUAAAUGAUAAAUAGUCCACUAAUCUGAGUUCUAUGGAUAGAUUUGGAAAGGCCCACAAAUCAAGUAAGAAGAAAAGUUUAUUUCUUCCCAUUGUUUUCUUCUUAUUGGUUUAAAAUUGUCUGAGUUCAAAGAAAAUUAUUUAGAAUGUCCACUUAUAGAUUAAUAAUAGAACUAAAUUGCAUACUAAUUUCGUAUCAUAUGAUCCAUUAGAUAUUUAUCAUAUGCUGCCAUUAUAAUAAUGAGCAUCUGCCCCUGUUCACAUCAAGCCUAGCUUAAAUUGGUAAAUACUGGAGUUGGUAAAUAUUAAAGAAAAGAAGGUACUACAAAGACAGGACUACAGUCAAAAGCAGGAAUUGAAGUUAUACUCCCUCACAUUGUUCUCAGGCACUUCCAAGUCAUGUGACCUUGGACAAAUUACUUAAAUUCUCUAUCAUAAUAUUUUCCUUAUAGGAUUACUGGGUGUAUUAAGUGAGAUAUUGAUUUUGCUUUGAUAUAGCCAAUGAACAUACCAAGACACCAAAACCACAGCAUUUUUUACAUAUAAAAAUUUUUGCCAACAAAAAUCUUUUUCAACAAUGCUAAAAGAGUAACUUCUAUCUUGUAAUUACACAGCCAAAAGAAGAAAAUAUUUAGGAAUUUCUUAUAAUAGCAUAAUAAGGAGAAAUUUCUUAAGGCAACAAAGCACAGAUAUUGAGUAAUUUGACUACAGAAAAGGUCUUUCAUGAUAAACAAAUUGAAAAGAGCAGCCAUAGAGUAGGAAUUUCUAUGGCAUAUAAUGUAAAGAAAAUUAUCCAGAAAUUGAAAGAAUUUUGAUAAAUUAUUAAGGAAACAGACAACCGUGCUUUUGAAAUGGUCUAAAUAGGGCCAGGGAUUUAGCUCAGUGGUUCCGGCACCUGCCUUGCAAGCGCAAGGUCCCGAGUUUGAUCCCUGGUACAAAAAAAAAAGGUCUAAAUAUAAAUAGCUCACAGGAGAAGAAUUUGAGUGGCAGAUAAACACAGGAAAAGAUAAUCAGAAAUGCCAAAAUACAACAAAAGGUACCAUUUUAUAACUACAUUAAUGUCAAAAGUUAAUGUCUGAUAAGCCAAAGAUAGUGAGAAGGUGAAGGGAAAACUCUUAAUUGUUGAUCUAACAUUUUUGAUCCAACAGUUUUGGGGAAAAAUGGCAAUAACUAGGUGAAAUUAUGAUCUCCCAGCAACUCAGCAAUUCUUAGGCCUCUACCCUCAAGAAACUCUGACAAGUGGUCAGAGAUAGGUGGACAUUGUGCCAGUUACCCUUCUUUGUCAACCUGACUGGAUUAAGAGAUUCUUGGAUAGGUGUUGGGUCAUGGGCUUGAUCCACUGAUAUUCAUAGCUGACUGUGCUGUUAGGAGACGGGGCCCAGUUGGAGGAAGUGAGUCACUGGGGGCACGUCUUUGGAGGUUAUAUCUCUUGCUGGCAUUCUGCCCUCUGCUCUACUUCCCAGCUGCCACAAAAUGAGCAGCUUUGCUCCACUGCAUCCUUCCACCAUGACAGUCCUACCUUGAAGCCAGGCAGCCAUGCACUGAAACCAUGAGCCAAAUUAAACCUUUUCUCCUUUAAGUUGUGAGUGUUAGGUGUUUUUUCCCAGCAAUGGAAAAGCUGACCAAUACAGAUAUAUAUGUGCACUGCAGCACUAAUUAUAAUAGUGAAACAUUGAAAAACUAUCUGUAAUUAGUAGUUGAGUGGAUGUAUACACGAUAUGGGUUUUUGUUUUGUUUUUAUAGUUCUGGGAAUUGAAACCAGAGCUUUCAUACCAAGUUAAAUUCCCAGCCUUCUGUGUUUGUCUGUUUGUUUUGAAAUAGUAGCCCACAGUAGCCUCAAACUUAUGAUCCUCCUGCCUCAGCCUCCCAGAGUGCUGGGAUAUGUAAUCAUUUUUUAAUAUAAUGAAACAUUUUAUAGCAUCUCAGAACUUUUUUUUUCUUUUUUGAGACAGGGUCACACUAUUUAGUUCAGGCUCCCUUGAAUUCACUAUUUAACCCAGGCUGGCCUCACACUCACAGCAAUCCUCCUGCCUCAGCAUUCUGAGUGCUGGGAUUAACAGGCAUGUGCCACCAUGCCCAGUUAGAAACAUCUUUAAAGAGAUGUUUCAAAUAGCUAUGGAAAGAAUGAUACUAUUUAUACAAAUUUCUGAAAUGACCAAGCAUUGUAGCACACCUUAUAAUCUUCAUACUUGGGAGGCUGAAGCAGAAGAAUCAUGAGUUCAAGACCAGCCUGAGGGCCGGGGAUUUAGUUCAGUGGUUUCACUGCCUGCUGUGCCAGCGCAAGGACUCACGUUCAAUCCCCAGUACCAAAAAAAAAAGACCAGCCUGAAAAAAAAAAAAAGCAGCCUGGAUGACAUAGCAAGUUCAAGUCCAACUUGAGCUACAUAUCAAGACCUUGUCUCAAAAAUAAAUAUAAAAUUAAAUAAAUUUCUAAAAUAUACACACAAUAAUGCAUACACUAUUAGCACACACUUUUGUAAUAAAAGUAUUUCUUUUUUUAAUAAAAGAAAUACAUGAAAUUCAGAUUAUUAGCUCUUCUUAGGACAGAUGAAAGGAAAAAAGAUAGGAGCUGCAAUGUUGCUAUUUUAUAAUGUUUUGUUUAAAAAUAAAAAGACCUAAGGUAAAUGUUAUAAAGUGUUAACAUGAGUGGAAGUAGAUGAACUAUUUGCUAUAUCAUCUAUACUUUUCUAUUUGAAAUCCACCAGAAUUUAAAGUAAUUUUUAAAGGAAAAUACCUGGAUUUAUAUAAAUCUUUCCAUAAGAAUAGUUUGAUUUUAAAAGGCUGCAUCUUUAACAAAAUUGAACUUGUCCCAGCUUGACAUGGGCAACCUUAAAAAUCUCCCUAUUUUUUUUUUUUUUUGACUAGCAAACAACCCCACAUAAUUAGAAAGAACGGAGUGAAGCCAUGUGCCCUGGAAAUAUCUGACAUGGUUUGUGGCUUGGAGCAAAAGAAGAAAACUGAAGCCAGGCUAACUUCAAAAGGCAUCAUCCCCUUUAGAAUUACUGGUCUUUCUUCUAAUAUCUGGAAACAUCUCUAAACUGGCUCCUAAAGCCUCUUUUCUUCCACAGGCAAAUAGCUGGACAGAACUGCAAUGCCUCCCAAUUUAACCAGCUCUUAGCACUAUUUAGUUAUCCAGUGAUGCCAGUGCCAUUGAAAUAGUAUUCCAAUUUUUCCAACCUCCCUCUGGAAACUUCACAAACCAUUGUCAUUAUCAAAAUGGUGAAAAAGUGUCUUUGUCAAGAUGGAACAUUACACAAAUGGAGCACCCACAAAGCUCAUUAACACACCUGGUUUGACUGCCUUCCUGAAAACAGUCCAUGCAAUGGCAUGACUCAUUACUGUCUUCAUCAAGAGGAAUUGGGCUGUGCCAGCAAUUGUGGAAGGAGUCUUGUCUUCUGCUGACAACAGUCAUAACUCGAUCAAAGCCCAGUCCUGACUUCAGGCUUUUCAAGAAAUUUUGUCUAGAAAAAGGAUCAGAAUAGAAAGUUCUUCCUUAUCACAGAUAGUCCACUGACUUUUGAGCCAACAAAUCUUAAAGUUUGUGACUGAAUCCUAUGGGUGAAUGGGGGUGGGGAGAGACCUGCUCAGAAUAAUUUGGGAGCUCAUUCACAAUUUUGUUACACCACAGAUAUUUUUGAUCAUGAGACUAAGGUAAAUCUUUUGAUCCAAGAUCAUACAAAUGCCAUUAUGAAUGCUGCUAAAAGAAACCACAAUGCCUCAUAGCUGAGGCACCAUUUCAAAAAGUGGAGAUGUGAUAUAAAAUUUCAAAUGUGGAAGAAGGACUUUCUCUGGUGUGAAGCCUACUGAGUCUUACUAGUUUCUCUGCGAUCAGAAGUCUUCAAUACCUAAAAACACCACUGAAUUCUUUUGAAUGUUACUUCUGCUCAGACCAGAAAAAGAAGGCAUGGAGAGAUUAAGUAACUUGUCCAGUAUUACACAGCUACUAUGUGAUAAUUCCAAAUAGCAUGUGCCUGUCUGAUUCUAGAGCCCAUCUUUAGAUUAUACAUUAAAGGAAUUAAUUUUCAAUGCAAAAGCAAACAUUGAAUGUAAACUGCUCAGAUUCUGCAUGCUGUUUUGUGAAAUUUGUUUGGGUUUCAUCAAAAUGUUAGGGCUUCAUAAUCAGAAAAACCUCAGAAUCACUGGACGAAAAAAACCCACAUAGUUUGGUUAAGGUGUCUGUCUCACUGCAUCACGGUGUCUGGCAUAUGGCAGAUGCUUCCUGUAUAAACAUUUGCCAAAUGGCACACAGUUAGGAUGAUUGAUCUAGACUACCAAGGGGAAAUUAGAUUAUUAGUCCACAAUGGAGGUAAGAAAGAAUAUGUUUGGAAUGCGGGAGAUCCCUUACAGCGUCUCCUAGUAUUCUCAUGGCCUAUUGUUAAGGUCAAUAGGAAGUGACAACAGCCCAAUCCAGGCAGGAUAACAAAUGGCCCAGAACCUUCAGAAAUGAAGGUAUAGGUCACCAUACUAGGUAAAGAACCAAGAACUGCUGAGGUGCUUGUUGAAGGCCACAGGUGUACAGAAUGGGUAGUACAAGACAGUAGUUAUAAAUUCCAGCUAUGACUAUGUGACCAGCUACAGUUAUGAGAUUGUAACUCUCAUGAGUAUUUCUUUCUGAUUUUAUUAAUAUACUCAUGCACAUAUACACAUGUAUUAAGUAAAUAUCUUUGUUUUCUUUUUUUUAACAUAACUGACUUAAUAUAAGUACUUAGGAAUUAUUACAUUAUACUACUUAAGUUAUGGAAUGUAAGGAAAAGAGUAAGCAUCACCCCCCCCCCAAAAAAAACUUUGCCUUUUAUUCUCAGGAGGGAAUUGGUGCAUUUCUGUCUGUAUGCAAGCUAAUUGUAUCAUGUUAGGCAUAAUUAGGAACUUACUAUUGUAUUUGAAGAUUAAGUAUGGUUUAAGGAGAUGUGUCUGACUGUCAGUUUACAAGGGGUGGACUGUGACCAUUAAUUGGGAUACACUGACUUGACUUGAAUAAGACCCACCUAGCAGAUUACUGAAGCACAGUUCUGGGCGUGUUUGUGGAUAACUGACAAACUGAGGGGGAAGACCCACCCAGAAGACCAUGGGCACCAACCAAUAGUCUUACAGCCUGGAUGGCGUAACAGGGGAAAGAAGAAGAAAGUGUCCCCAUUUUGGAAGAGCUCCAGUCUUCAAUAUUGCUUUUGGAUAUCAAUCUCCAGUUUCCUCAGCCUUACAAUGGAGACUUACACCAGUGACUACAGUGAACUUCCAGGCCUUUGAUCUUGGGUUCCAUCUUCUUUGGCUGAGUAGUUAACUGGAUCCUCCAGCUCUCCAGCAUGCAGAGAACCAUAAUGGACUCUUCUGCCUCUGACUCUAUAAUCCUACUUUUAAUAACCCCCUUCUAUAAUUAUUCAUAUAUUUUAUUGAUUCCAUUCCUCUAGAGAAUGCAAACUAAUACAGUAUGUAUUUAUAUGAAUUUUUGUAUCAUUUUUAACACAAAGAAUAGAAUACUACUUGUUUUUUCACUCUAAAAAUAUAAAAUUUGGAGUUCUUUCCAUAUUGAUUCAUUUUUUAUUCAUUAAUUUGACAAGUUUUUAUUCAGUGCUUACCAUGUGCCAGGCACUUGCAAGUGGUGAAGAUACAGCAGUAGACAACAUACACAAAAUAUAUACUCCUGAAACUUAACACACUAGCAGAGAGUGCAGGAAAGACAGACAGAACCUCACUAAGCAGUGAAAUAUAUAUAGUAUAUCCAAUGAUGAUAAGUACUAUGCAGAAAAAUAAAGCUGGGAGAAAAGCUGAACAGCAGCUGUAGGGAUCUAAAUGAAAGAGGGGCUAGUGUACCCUGUAAUCCUAGUGCUCAGGAGACUGAGACAGAAGGAUUGCUGUGGAUUCGAGGCCAGCCUGGGCUACAUAGUGAGUCCCUGUCUCAAAAAAAUACAGCCAGAUAAAGUUUUUUUACUUUAUUUUAUUUUACCUUAUUUUUGAAGUACCAGAGGCCAAACUCAGGGUCUUUUUCACACUGAGCUACAUCACUAUUCCCUCUCCCCCUUUAAAACUUAUUUUUGAACCAGGAUAUUACUAAGUCUCUAAGUUGCCCAGGCUUGGCUCAAACUUGCAGUGUUCCUGCCUCAGUCUCCCAGAGUAAUCCCAACAAUUACAGGCAUGUGCUGCCAUGCCUGCCUCCAAUUUGGAUUUUUUCCAAUUCCAUUGAUGUAACUUCUAAUUUAUUCAACAUAUAUAUAUAAU